RNAcentral lists this ribosomal RNA (98 nucleotides) under Vibrio sp. 11-4(1). RNAcentral's name for it is "partial 16S ribosomal RNA". It matches the Rfam family "Bacterial small subunit ribosomal RNA", at positions 1445 to 1533 of the family's 1533-position model. Lineage: Bacteria; Pseudomonadati; Pseudomonadota; Gammaproteobacteria; Vibrionales; Vibrionaceae. The record is from RNAcentral.
GGGGGACGCUUACCACUUUGUGGUUCAUGACUGGGGUGAAGUCGUAACAAGGUAGCGCUAGGGGAACCUGGCGCUGGAUCACCUCCUUAUACGAUGAU